GCUUAGAGGGUAAAGCAUCUGCCUGCAACGCAGGAGACCUGGGUUUGAUCCAAGACCCAG
This 60-nucleotide transfer RNA is filed under the name Ovis aries (sheep). It matches the Rfam family "tRNA", at positions 10 to 63 of the family's 71-position model. From Rfam's summary of the family: Transfer RNA (tRNA) molecules are approximately 80 nucleotides in length. The record is from Rfam by way of RNAcentral. Lineage: Eukaryota; Metazoa; Chordata; Mammalia; Artiodactyla; Bovidae.